GGAAACCGAGUCUUAACUGGGCGAAUUAGUUGCAGGGUAUAGACCCGAAACCCGGUGAUCUAGCCAUGGGCAGGUUGAAGGUUGGGUAACACUAACUGGAGGACCGAACCGACUAAUGUUGAAAAAUUAGCGGAUGACUUGUGGCUGGGGGUGAAAGGCCAAUCAAACCGGGAGAUAGCUGGUUCUCCCCGAAAGCUAUUUAGGUAGCGCCUCGUGAAUUCAUCUCCGGGGGUAGAGCACUGUUUCGGCUAGGGGGUCAUCCCGACUUACCAACCCGAUGCAAACUGCGAAUACCGGAGAAUGUUAUCACGGGAGACACACGGCGGGUGCUAACGUUCGUCGUGAAGAGGGAAACAACCCAGACCGCCGGCUAAGGUCCCAAAGUCAUAAUUAAGUGGGAAACGAAGUGGGAAGGCUCAGACAGCCAGGAUGUUGGCUUAGAAGCAGCCAUCAUUUAAAGAAAGCGUAAUAGCUCACUGGUCGAGUCGGCCUGCGCGGAAGAUGUAACGGGGCUAAAUUAUGCACCGAAGCCGCGGCAGCGAUAUGUAAAUAUUGUUGGGUAGGGGAGCG
RNAcentral lists this ribosomal RNA (570 nucleotides) under Morganella morganii. Its description in RNAcentral is "partial 23S ribosomal RNA". It matches the Rfam family "Bacterial large subunit ribosomal RNA", at positions 672 to 1238 of the family's 2925-position model. Lineage: Bacteria; Pseudomonadati; Pseudomonadota; Gammaproteobacteria; Enterobacterales; Morganellaceae. The record is from RNAcentral.